Molecule: long non-coding RNA, 3207 nt
Organism: Ostrea edulis (European flat oyster)
Lineage: Eukaryota; Metazoa; Mollusca; Bivalvia; Ostreida; Ostreidae
Exons: 2
Source: RefSeq, a predicted model, not a curated record
CUCUGUUCCGUCAAAUAUUUUUUCAGAGAGCUGCAGCUACAUGUAGGAAGGAGUCUGAAAUCCAAUGCACAUCGUGAGGGGUACUACUAAACAGAGUCACAUUUUCAAGGUUUUUCAUAAAGGAAAAUACAAUGAAGAAGAUUCAGACAUCAUCACGUGGAUCAGUUAAAUUAAAGGAGGAAGAGAGACCCAUUCUCUACUACAGUAAACGUUACAAUUACCUUUUGGAAGAGGAUAGAAAAGAAAUUGUGAAAACACUUCUGCUUCUGAGAGUAAUGGAAAAUCGAGCAAGAACAAAAAAGAAAACCUAAACAGUGUUAUAGAUUUUUUUAGAGUCAAUUUUCUAGGACUGGUCAUAGCUAGUUUAGACAAGUUAAUAUGCAAUUUUUUGAAUUGAUAAAUGAUGACUUAAUUGAAUUUAUUAAUUCAUAUGGAAAUUAAUACAUUGGAAACAAUGGCAGCUUAUUGUGAAUGUUAUUUAUAAUUCAAAAUGCAUUGUGUCUACCUGAUUUGAAAAAAUGCAUUGUGUAUGCUUUUUGAGCACUCAUCAUUGUUUUAUACAUUUUUAGGUGUCAUGAGUCACCCGUGACCUAUUUUUGCAAUUGGCAGUCAUCCUUCGGGUGUUAACAAUAGAACAUUUUUAAUUUCUUCUUGAUAGCUACUCUCCCAAUUCUUUUCAAAUUUGAUAUAGAACAUUUUUGGGACAAGGGGGACAUAAAUUGUAAAUUUUAGGACCCAUGAACCCCUGUGGCCAUAAGGGUGGGUGGGCCAAAAAUUGACCAGCUUUCAAAAAUCAUCUUCUUUACAAGCACACAUCUGUAAGAAAAACCAAAUACAUAGUGAUGUAGAGGAGGAUGGUCUACACUAAACAUAAAUUUCCUGAUUCUCGGGCUAGAGGUUCUGACAUUAAGAUAGGGCAUACUCAGGUGACCAAUAAGGCUUUUGGGCCUCUUGUUUUUAUUUCUUUUUAAAUUCCCUGAGUUUUACUGAUGGAAAUUAGUUCUUUGGCUGUGCUUGUCAACUUUUCACAUUUUCUUCUUUUUCUGCUGAACAAGAAGGCUAAUUUCAGCCAAACAUCCAAAAUUCAGGGAAUCUAGCAUCAUUCAGCUAUGUGCCAGUGAUGGUUUCCCGAAACGGGAUAAGUUUUUGAAAUAAUGAAAUUAAGUAAUAGUGAUUUUAAAAUUGUAGUACUUAGAUAUCAGUUAAUUCAAAUGAUGGCACUACAGUAAUGAUAAGGUGUACAUAAGAAUAUUAGAGAUGUUUGGCUUAGUAGUAUAUGAAGGUUCUUGUUAUAUUGAUUGGAAAAAAAAAUGAAGCACUGAAGGUUUAAUCUUGCAUUUUCAUUAUCAUAAACAAAAAGUGAGAUGGGGCCAACCAGUCAAUACAUGGAACUUCAGUAUGCAAUAAGGACUUUCCACUGAGAUAAUACAAAAAAGGAUAUAUAAUUCUAUAUUACAUAUGUCAAAAGCUGUCAAAAGAUGUCAUUGCUAUGUGCCUGUACAAAUUAAACAGUUAAAGACCUCGUACAACAAUCCAUUACCAGAGGAAACGUUAGAAGGUGUGAAUAUAUAUUUAUUUAUCCCGCUUCAGACAAAUUUACAGGUAAUUGAAUGGAUAAAAGCUAAUCACACGACGUCCUGAAACUGACCAUAACAAAUUUAUCCUGCUGAAGACCUGUAGAAAAUUUGUUAAGAUUUCAUUAACAUCUUUGAUAAAUAUCAUUCAAUUACUAAAUUGAAUUCCAUAUACGUGUGUCUCAUUGAAAAUCAUAUUACCACAAUAUCAAAACAUCACAAUUAAAAAUAUGAACACUAACAUUAAAUAAACAAAUCAUGUAUGUUGAAACUGAAUACAUGUAGAUGUACACUGACAGCUACAGUCAGUUUGGGGCGUAAUACAGAGUCAUCCACGGUGUGAAAUGGAAAUCUAUAUUGGGACUCGCGCCCCAUUUCAUACCCUGGAUGACUCUGUAUUAUGUCUUAAACUGACAGUGUAACUUAAUUAUAAUAUAAAUUAAUAAUUUCUUUAUCUACAUAAGAUGGUUAUGUAUUAUUAUGAUGUAUUCAUAUUCUAUAUUUCAGUUUGCGUUUGUAUUUGAUGAAUUCAAUUAUGCAUUGACAACAUCAAUUUUUAUACAUGUAGGCCUUUGAUUGAUUAAUUAUCUAUCUAACUACAUGUAUCUACAGAACUGUAUAUAUAAUUCAUUUAAUAUUUACCUAAAUAUGAUAUGUUAAUCCAUAUUUUAGUUUCCAUUUGUAUGUAAUAAAUUCAAUUGUACAUUGGCAACAUCUAGCUGAUUCAAUGUUUAUAGGCCCAUGUUUAAUUAUCAAAAUGGAUAUAAUAAUACGUGCAUUGAUUAUGAAAAUUCAAUGAAAAAAUGAAAACCUGUAGCUGAUGUAAAUAUAAUUUCAAUAUCAAUUCCUAUGGGCCUCUUGUUUUAAUUUCUAAUUACAUAAUUGUAAUGGUUGCUAUGCAUGAUGACAUUAUUCUAAUCUGGAUGUUUCCUAUCGUAACUUUUAAUUGGUUAAAAUAAUGUCCUUAUCAUAUACUUUAAAGAGAAUAUUGACAAAACGUGUUCUUCAUAAAUAUCAUGACAUUGUUUAGAAUUUACUUCAAAUUGUGUGCAUCAAUGAGUUUCAAGUGUUAAAAAUGAAUGAAAUUCUACGUCAUAAUAUAUCACUCGUGACGUCAUCUCUCUGGAACCAUGCAAGAUAAGACCAUAGAAUUUUCAAUGCACAAUUAGGCAUACAUGUGUGUCAUUUUAAAGCAAAAAUCUCAUUUUUGAUAAAUUUCCUGAUUUGUAAUAUAUUGGACUCGAGUAGUUUAAUAAUUUGGCAUCAGCAUAAUAAAUUAAUAUUCCUCAACUCAAAUACAAAAUGGAAGAAACUCUUGGUCAAUUUUUCAUGCCUGAAACUCUACAUAUAUGAGCAUUUAUGCCAAUAUUACAUCAAGACAGAGUACUAGGGUAUAUGAGGUAUGCACAUACAUCUGCAUUUCUAUGGGUACAGCAUUGAGAGAGAACUAAUUGUUAAUAAGAGAAUUGAAUGAUAUUCACAGAAUAUGUGACCAACCAUGAGAUUUUGGUUCCAUUUUAGAUUUUAGUUGCAUUAAUAUUACUAUUAAUGUAAAUGUAAUUUAAGUAGCAGGUUACUUAUAUAUUGCAUUGUGUAAAUUAUCUUAUAGCUAUAAUAAAUACAUGUGACCAUA